RNAcentral lists this ribosomal RNA (253 nucleotides) under uncultured bacterium. RNAcentral describes it as "partial 16S ribosomal RNA". It matches the Rfam family "Bacterial small subunit ribosomal RNA", at positions 524 to 776 of the family's 1533-position model. The record is from RNAcentral.
UACGUAGGCAGCGAGCGUUGUUCGGAAUUACUGGGCGUAAAGAGUGUGUAGGUGGUGUCGUAAGUUUGGUGUGAAAUCUCCCGGCUUAACUGGGAGGGUGCGCCGAAGACUGCGAUGCUGGAGUAUGGGAGAGGAAAGCGGAAUUCCUGGUGUAGCGGUGAAAUGCGUAGAUAUCAGGAGGAACACCGAUGGCGAAGGCAGCUCGCUGGGACGGUACUGACGCUGAGGCGCGAAAGCGUGGGGAGCGAACAGG